RNAcentral lists this ribosomal RNA (252 nucleotides) under uncultured bacterium. RNAcentral describes it as "partial 16S ribosomal RNA". It matches the Rfam family "Bacterial small subunit ribosomal RNA", at positions 524 to 776 of the family's 1533-position model. The record is from RNAcentral.
UACGGAGGGUGCAAGCGUUGUUCGGAUUUAUUGGGCGUAAAGGGCGUGUAGGCGGUUCGUUAAGUCUGAUGUGAAAGCCCCGGGCUCAACCCGGGAAGUGCAUUGGAAACUGGCGAACUUGAGUACGGGAGAGGGCAGUGGAAUUCCUAGUGUAGGAGUGAAAUUCGUAGAUAUUCGGAAGAACACCAGUGGCGAAGGCGGCUCACUGGACUGGUAUUGACGCUGAGGUGCGAAAGCGUGGGAGCAACAGGG